CCUAACACAUGCAAGUCGAACGGUAACAGGAAGAAGCUUGCUUCUUUGCUGACGAGUGGCGGACGGGUGAGUAAUGUCUGGGAAACUGCCUGAUGGAGGGGGAUAACUACUGGAAACGGUAGCUAAUACCGCAUAACGUCGCAAAACCAAAGAGGGGGACCUUCGGGCCUCUUGCCAUCGGAUGUGCCCAGAUGGGAUUAGCUUGUUGGUGGGGUAACGGCUCACCAAGGCGACGAUCCCUAGCUGGUCUGAGAGGAUGACCAGCCACACUGGAACUGAGACACGGUCCAGACUCCUACGGGAGGCAGCAGUGGGGAAUAUUGCACAAUGGGCGCAAGCCUGAUGCAGCCAUGCCGCGUGUAUGAAGAAGGCCU
RNAcentral lists this ribosomal RNA (374 nucleotides) under uncultured bacterium. RNAcentral describes it as "bacterial SSU rRNA". It matches the Rfam family "Bacterial small subunit ribosomal RNA", at positions 47 to 417 of the family's 1533-position model. The record is from RNAcentral.